GUGAUGUUAUGAAUUUUUUUUUUCAAUGACAGUCUUAAAUUUGCUCAUGUUUUUUUUCCUAUACCUUGGAUGUUAAAAACUAAGAGUUGUCAGAUAGAUUGAGCUCAUGAAUUGGAAUUGCAUUCUAUAUCAAAACAAUAGAUCUGAGCAACAAUCUCAUUGGCAGUUUUCUUUCAGCUAACCAGCUUACUGGAAGUAUUCCUGAUUCUUUGUCUUCCCUGAGUCAAUUAUCAGCUAUAUAUCCCUGAUGAGCUACUUGAAGAUGGCAUGCAGAUUUUGAGGGGCAGAGGCAUGGCUUCAAUGUACUCUUGGUCUUGCAAGAGGUUGACAAAUCACGUCCAAGAGUGAAUCGACCCAUGAUGGGAGAGACUGAAGAGCACAAUAAGCUACUGGUAGUUGUAGUUCUAGUGUUUGUAUUCCAAGUUAACCAUGUAUAUAUAGACUGGAGAGUUGCGUCUCGAUAGGAUAGCCUUAAGCUUUUAAUGGCCGCUUUUGGCUAUCGUUUCGAUUGACUAAACAGGCAGAUAUGCAUCGCGUAUAUAUUGUUUCCUUUCACAUUUA
Molecule: long non-coding RNA, 561 nt
Organism: Ipomoea nil (Japanese morning glory)
Lineage: Eukaryota; Viridiplantae; Streptophyta; Magnoliopsida; Solanales; Convolvulaceae
Exons: 4
Source: RefSeq, a predicted model, not a curated record